Molecule: non-coding RNA, 691 nt
Organism: Solanum lycopersicum (tomato)
Lineage: Eukaryota; Viridiplantae; Streptophyta; Magnoliopsida; Solanales; Solanaceae
Source: RefSeq, a predicted model, not a curated record
UUGAGUUAUUUAUUUUUCUCUCGAGGAAAAGCUUAUAUAAGAUAUUGUUUGUAUUAAACAAAAAAAAACACAGUAUAUUUAUUAUUCAUCUCUUCCUCCAUAGCUUUUUGAAACCAUGAAUUACAAAGCAUUUACUUUGAUAUCGUUUGUAUUAUUUUUUUGUCAAUCAUCGAUAAUGGCUUCUCGAAGAAUAUUAUCAGGUCCGGGAAGUUGUAAAAUGCCAGCACUACCUCAUCGUCCUCCAUCAGCUGGAUCAGCAACUCCCAAAUCAUCGCCCCAGUAUGGUGGAAUUCCAAUGCGACCUCAUACCUCUAAACCAGAACAUUUUGCAACUAAUCAACACCCACUACCUGGUAAGAAUAAAUUCUCUCCAAUAUAUAGCUUUCUAAUUUUUAUUUUUUUUUCACUCGAUAUUUCGUAUUUAUAUUAAAAUUUGAUUAAAUAUGAAUUCACAUAUUUAUAAUUUUAUUCUUUUCCUAUAGUUCGCCAAUAACUGAAAGGAUCGGAUAAGACGGGACGGAAGUGAAAUAUUUUUAAAAAAGUAAAAAACAUAUAUAUAUUAAUUUAAAUAUAAAACUACUAAUUAAAAAUCAAAAGAUUUUAUGAGUAAUUUUUUUCGUAAGAAGAUAUAUCACAUAUGAGCAGGGAUCGGAAUUAAGUGGGGUUCGUAGAUCUCUCUCUCUCUCUCUAU